GGAAAAGCUCCAGGAUCACAGCAUUUUUUCAGGUCAGGAUGGUGGAGGGGGCUUCAAAGCCGCACUGAUUACAAAGGAGAGGGUGCCGCAGGGCGGGUGACGUGGAUCCAGCCUCCUGCACCUACUCAUCUUCCACAGACGGGGACGCCCGUUCCAGUCCUACUGGAGCCUUCGCUGACGGGACCUGUCCCUGCUGUCUGCAUGCGCUUUUCAGACCAGUUUAAAAGGAC
This is a long non-coding RNA of Conger conger (European conger), 230 nucleotides long. RefSeq lists it as uncharacterized. The record is from RefSeq and is a predicted model, not a curated record. Lineage: Eukaryota; Metazoa; Chordata; Actinopteri; Anguilliformes; Congridae. The transcript has 3 exons.